GACGAACGCUGGCGGCGUGCUUAACACAUGCAAGUCGAACGGAAAGGCCCUGCUUUUGUGGGGUGCUCGAGUGGCGAACGGGUGAGUAACACGUGAGUAACCUGCCCUUGACUUUGGGAUAACUUCAGGAAACUGGGGCUAAUACCGGAUAGGAGCUCCUGCUGCAUGGUGGGGGUUGGAAAGUUUCGGCGGCUGGGGAUGGACUCGCGGCUUAUCAGCUUGUUGGUGGGGUAGUGGCUUACCAAGGCUUUGACGGGUAGCCGGCCUGAGAGGGUGACCGGCCACAUUGGGACUGAGAUACGGCCCAGACUCCUACGGGAGGCAGCAGUGGGGAAUAUUGCACAAUGGGCGGAAGCCUGAUGCAGCAACGCCGCGUGCGGGAUGACGGCCUUCGGGUUGUAAACCGCUUUCGCCUGUGACGAAGCGUGAGUGACGGUAAUGGGUAAAGAAGCACCGGCUAACUACGUGCCAGCAGCCGCGGUGAUACGUAGGGUGCGAGCGUUGUCCGGAUUUAUUGGGCGUAAAGGGCUCGUAGGUGGUUGAUCGCGUCGGAAGUGUAAUCUUGGGGCUUAACCCUGAGCGUGCUUUCGAUACGGGUUGACUUGAGGAAGGUAGGGGAGAAUGGAAUUCCUGGUGGAGCGGUGGAAUGCGCAGAUAUCAGGAGGAACACCAGUGGCGAAGGCGGUUCUCUGGGCCUUUCCUGACGCUGAGGAGCGAAAGCGUGGGGAGCGAACAGGCUUAGAUACCCUGGUAGUCCACGCUGUAAACGGUGGGUACUAGGUGUGGGGUCCAUUCCACGGGUUCCGUGCCGUAGCUAACGCUUUAAGUACCCCGCCUGGGGAGUACGGCCGCAAGGCUAAAACUCAAAGGAAUUGACGGGGCCCCGCACAAGCGGCGGAGCAUGCGGAUUAAUUCGAUGCAACGCGUAGAACCUUACCUGGGUUUGACAUGGAUCGGGAGCGCUCAGAGAUGGGUGUGCCUCUUUUGGGGUCGGUUCACAGGUGGUGCAUGGCUGUCGUCAGCUCGUGUCGUGAGAUGUUGGGUUAAGUCCCGCAACGAGCGCAACCCUUGUUCACUGUUGCCAGCACGUUAUGGUGGGGACUCAGUGGAGACCGCCGGGGUCAACUCGGAGGAAGGUGGGGAUGACGUCAAGUCAUCAUGCCCCUUAUGUCCAGGGCUUCACGCAUGCUACAAUGGCUGGUACAGAGAGUGGCGAGCCUGUGAGGGUGAGUGAAUCUCGGAAAGCCGGUCUCAGUUCGGAUUGGGGUCUGCAACUCGACCUCAUGAAGUCGGAGUCGCUAGUAAUCGCAGAUCAGCAACGCUGCGGUGAAUACGUUCCCGGG
This 1343-nucleotide ribosomal RNA is filed under the name uncultured bacterium. RNAcentral describes it as "16S ribosomal RNA". It matches the Rfam family "Bacterial small subunit ribosomal RNA", at positions 28 to 1378 of the family's 1533-position model. The record is from RNAcentral.